AGUGAACGCUGGCGGUAGGCCUAACACAUGCAAGUCGAACGGCAGCACAGUAAGAGCUUGCUCUUACGGGUGGCGAGUGGCGGACGGGUGAGGAAUACAUCGGAAUCUACUUUUUCGUGGGGGAUAACGUAGGGAAACUUACGCUAAUACCGCAUACGACCUACGGGUGAAAGCAGGGGAUCUUCGGACCUUGCGCGAUUGAAUGAGCCGAUGUCGGAUUAGCUAGUUGGCGGGGUAAAGGCCCACCAAGGCGACGAUCCGUAGCUGGUCUGAGAGGAUGAUCAGCCCCACUGGAACGGAGACACGGUCCAGACUCCUACGGGAGGCAGCAGUGGGGAAUAUUGGACAAUGGGCGCAAGCCUGAACCAGCCAUACCGCGUGGGUGAAGAAGGCCUUCGGGUUGUAAAGCCCUUUUGUUGGGAAAGAAAAGCAGCAGGUUAAUACCCCGCUGUUCUGACGGUACCCAAAGAAUAAGCACCGGCUAACUUCGUG
Molecule: ribosomal RNA, 492 nt
Filed under: uncultured bacterium
Lineage: Bacteria
Description: partial 16S ribosomal RNA
Rfam family: Bacterial small subunit ribosomal RNA
Source: RNAcentral